This 482-nucleotide ribosomal RNA is filed under the name uncultured bacterium. RNAcentral's name for it is "partial 16S ribosomal RNA". It matches the Rfam family "Bacterial small subunit ribosomal RNA", at positions 28 to 507 of the family's 1533-position model. The record is from RNAcentral.
GAUGAACGCUAGCGGCAGGCCUAAUACAUGCAAGUCGAACGAGAUUACGAGGCUUGCUUCUUAUGAAAGUGGCGCACGGGUGCGUAACGCGUAUGCAACCUACCUUAAUCAGGGGGAUAGCCCGAAGAAAUUCGGAUUAGGACCGCAUAAAAACACAGGAUAGCAUUAUCCAAUGUUCAAAUAUUUAUAGGAUUAAGAUGGGCAUGCGUGUCAUUAGCUAGUUGGCGGGGUAACGGCCCACCAAGGCGACGAUGACUAGGGGAUCUGAGAGGAUGACCCCCCACACUGGUACUGAGACACGGACCAGACUCCUACGGGAGGCAGCAGUAAGGAAGAUUGGUCAAUGGAGGGAACUCUGAACCAGCCAUGCCGCGUGCAGGAAGACAGCCCUCUGGGUCGUAAACUGCUUUUAUUCGGGAAUAAACCUUUCUACGUGUAGGAAGCUGAAUGUACCGAAGGAAUAAGGAUCGGCUAACUCCGUG